This 253-nucleotide ribosomal RNA is filed under the name uncultured bacterium. RNAcentral's name for it is "partial 16S ribosomal RNA". It matches the Rfam family "Bacterial small subunit ribosomal RNA", at positions 524 to 776 of the family's 1533-position model. The record is from RNAcentral.
GACGGAAGGUGCAAGCGUUGCUCGGAAUCACUGGGCGUAAAGGGUGCGUAGGCGGCCGUGCAAGUCUGGCGUGAAAGCCCCGGGCUCAGCCCGGGAAGUGCGCUCGAAACUGCGCGGCUCGAGUGCCGGAGGGGAGAGUGGAAUUCCUGGUGUAGCGGUGAAAUGCGUAGAUAUCAGGAGGAACACCGGUGGCGAAGGCGGGUCUCUGGGCCGAUACUGAUGCUGAGGAGCGAAAGCGUGGGGAGCGAACAGG